Molecule: long non-coding RNA, 5912 nt
Filed under: Sus scrofa (pig)
Lineage: Eukaryota; Metazoa; Chordata; Mammalia; Artiodactyla; Suidae
Description: lncRNA (ENSSSCG00060032967.1)
Source: RNAcentral
CCAGGGCCGGGCGCAGCCUCUGCACACGGCCCGCCGCCACGAUCUUGGACUGGGGGUCGUGCGCCGUGUUUCUGCCCCAGGCCCUCCGAGCUGAGUGGUCGGGGCAGCCACUUCACACCGGGAACGCUGGUCUAAAGCGCCAGGUCUGAGGCUUCUGCACAGGCACCUUUGAGCAAGUGACAUUAGACUAAGCACAAAAGAAAAGAAAAAGGUGAUGUGCUCUCACAGAAGCAGGUGACAGGUGGGAACACAAGGAGGCAGCAACUCUGCAGAGCAAGCAAACACAGCAGCCUCUUCCCUGAUGGUGUGGGGAGCAGCAGGAAAGCCAAGGCCAUUGCCAGCCCAGCACCCGGGAGGUGCCGCCCAGAUGCCGGAGAGCAAAAGGCAGUGCACCCCUGAGCUCACCAGCUGAGACAUCUUGUUUUUGUUUUCUCUGUGAAUGAUCACGGAUGCGCCAUCCAGGCUCUGACCAACACGGUGCAGCUCCUACAACCACGUAGCCUAUGGAUGGCGAAGCCCAGAGGCCGCGGGGCAGUCGCUGGGAGGUGCGGCUCAGAGGAGAGGACCUCCGUACACCUUCCAGCAAUAAAAGCAUCUGGUGGACGCCGCUGUGUAGGCUCUGGUUGCCAAGGCUUUCCGGAGCCGGGACGUCUCAGGCUUUACUGGACAUGCAGAUUGCCUGCAGAACGGGCGAAAAGGCAGAUGCCGAUUUGAUAGGCCUGAGGUGGACCCUGAGAUUCUGCAGUUCUGACAAGCUCCCAGUUGAUGCCAAGGCUCCUGGUCCAUGACCUGUACUUUGAGCAAUGAGAGUGUUUCAACAAGAUACCCAUGUAAUUUUGGUGUCCACGUUGAGAAGCGCUGUGCUACAUCUCAAGAAGCUGUGGGCCUUAAGAAGGACUCCUUGGGGUGACUGCAAGAGCUGUGACGUGGUCGGCUGUGGGCCAGCCUCUGGGAACAAGACGCAUUGACUUGGAGAUUCCAGAUGGUGCCAUCAGGUGUACAUAAGUGUCAGCAGUUCCCUGGGAGGAGUGGAAAGUGCUACUCUUAAGUGUUUCUGUCUGUGGUAGUCCCUUCUUAUUUAAUUCUCCUCAUAACUCUGAGGCAGGACCUUUUAUAGUUGCAACUUAAAGAUGAAGAAACCAAGGCUCAUGGGUUCCGCAGCGGGGUUUGAAUAAUCCUAUCAUGUCCAAGUCCACACACUCAGGCUGCCUGCCCUGCCUCCGGAUUCAGCACCCUGACAACCAUAAAAGAAGCAGAGGGGUCUGUGUAGGAGGCCUUGAUGGCCAAUGACCUUGAGCUGGCUUCAGCUGCAGGCACCAGUGGGCCAUCUCUAUGUGCUGCACUUAAAGCAGAAAAGUGGAGGCCAGGGGCCUGGGCCAAGUCCCCUUCCCCUGCCCUCCCUGUUCCAUUAGGCUUGGCAAGCCCCUGAGCCUUAGAUGGAGCUGGAGGGGAAGUGCAGACUCCUGUGCCCACUUCCGUCUGCGGCUGUGAGACCCCUGAACUGAAAACUCCAUGGCCUUCAAAAGCAUGGACAGACUUGUGGCACCUCUUUAAUUUUAAUUCCCAGCAUUUUGCCCCAACCCUGCAAGGCAAUGUGAGGGCAUGUAACAACUAAACUUAUUUUCCCCUAAACCCUUUAAUUAUGAUAAAAAUAGAAGGCCCUCAACCACCGUUAUCCAACUCGAUAACCAUGAAUAAUGCACAUUAAUGCACAGGCUAAGAAUAGGACAUGGGGGCGCUGAUGGAGCCAGCCAUGAGCAAACAGGAUCAGGAUAAACUCUGUGGGACUUCUAAGAGGUAUGUAUCCAAACACACAUCACCCGCAUCUUCAGACGCAGGUGCCAUAUGGUGAACCAGCAGCAUCACCUGGAAUGAACUUCUGAGAGGGCACGAGGAGUCCAACUCUUCUGAGUCUUCGAGGUGAUUCUGAUGUAUCUAAGAAUCACAGAUUUAUCUCAAAAAUGACUUCACUCGUCAAUAACUUCACUGGACUUUGAAAAGUAUCUCAAGGGGAUCCAGAAGAAAUAGUGUGGGCCAGCACAGGGAGUCAGAGUGGGGGGUCCGGGAGAUGCCUCCUCCUAGACUUCUCCUUGGAAGGAAAUCACUUUACUAUUUGGAACCCAGUGAAAGGAUGAGGGAUAACUGGAGAAAACAUUACUGAUGACUAUGAAACAGACCUUUUGCUAUUUAACUUAUGCUGCUUUAAGUCUUCAAAGUACUUUGAGGGAGAGCAGCUGACACCUGAGAUGUGACAGUGCUACCACCCAGAGAAGGGGCAGGAUCCUGGAGUCUCACCAUCAGACCUAGCCAAUUAUGGCUUCAAAUCUGACUUCGUUCCCAGACACUCAGGGAAUAUCAGAAGUGGUGACCAGUGGAAAAUAAAACUGAGUCAGAUAGAAAGAUGAAUGGUGGUUUUGGAUGGAAAGACUCUAUCAUAAAGAUCUCAAUUUUUGAGAAAAAGGAAAUUUGACACACGCAGGGCCUCUGUCAAGGUGUAAGACCCAGCUCCACCCACCAGAAGGCCCCUGGACCAACCUCAGGCACCAGGAACAAGAGGCGCUAUGGUCCUGUAGAACAGAGACCACAAGCACAGAAAGUGAGACAAAAGGAGACAGCAGAGAAAUACAUUCCAGAUGAAGGAUCAAGAUAAAAACCCAGAAAGUACCACUAAGUGAAGUAGAGAUAGCCUACCUGAAAAAGAAUUCAGAGUAAUGGCAGUUAAGACAAUCUAAGCUCUUGGAAAAAAAAAAGUGGGAUAUAUUCAGACAGUCCCACUCAUGUCACCUGCUAGCUGUGUGGCCUUGGGCAAGUCGCAUCUUCUUGAGAAGGUUUGCUAAUGCUCAGCCUAGAAUGAUACAUAGGAACGUCUCAGUGAAAGAGUUACAGUUAGUUCUGUCGCAUGGGAUGGCUUUUUUAAGCGUGAAAUCACUCUUCUCCGUCACAUAAAAAAAAGUGUUGGCCAACCAACUCUUGAUGGUCUGCAAGCCAAGCCUUUGUCCUGCUGUUGCUAAUGCCACAGAAAGAACAGGUGAAAUGGGGUGUGUCACUUAUUUGCCUGUACUGUUACCCGGGGAAGUGUAAGAACUCGUCCAGUGUCUGGAAGCCACACAAACGCACUGCUGAGGGAUGGAGCAUCUUUGAGGAAAAGACUCUUAUCUGAGCCUCCCCCUCCUCUCCACAACCACCCACACAAUGGAGCAGAUGGCCCCCAUGCUCUACUUCUGGCUCCCAAACGUCUUUGAAUCUCAGAAUUUCAAACAGAACCUCACUCUGAAAGACAGAGGAAGACACAGGUCCUGGUUCAAAGUCCCUUUGCUCUUUAUGCUGUAAGAGGACACCUAUGUCAUGUUGAAAUCAGAUGUUGAUAUUCUAGAACCACCCACCCAGGUAGGACUUGCAGGAAGCCCCCAGGGCUUGCUGCAGCUGUUCUUCAGGGAAGCCACUAGGGGCAGGGUUGGACCAGUGGCUGCCCCACCACCUCCUGUCAAAUUAGAAGCUGAGUUGAGUGUGGACAUCACCACCAGCUGCUGCCCCUACCAUGUGAGUCUCCUAGUGGGACCACCUCUCUGAAACCUCACAAGGACUUCCUGCAGAUAAGAGCUGAGCUGUCUUUUCUACACUGUCCAACCCGCAUUCAUGAAGCUCCAUCAGUUGUUCUCAAUAGAAGCUGGGAGCCUGGGCAAUGUCCAUGGACAUUUUUUGGUUUUCACAACUGGGUAGCGGCCAAAGAGGCUAGUAGCAUCCUGCGAUGACACGGAUAGCCCCCAAUAACAAAGACUCAUCCAGCUGAAAAUAUCGAUAUUGCUCACACUGAGAAACCCUGAGCUUAAUCUCUUCUGAGCUAAAGUAUUGUCUUUUCCAGGAAUCACUCUGGGCUGUAGCUUCUUCCCAAGAGGAUGACGGUGACCUUGCUCCCACUGAGGUGACCCAGAAAGCUAUCAGAGCACUCGCACCAUUGCAUCCAUCGAGCUAUAGUUCCUGGUCACUCUUUCCUCUUCUAGAGCAGGAGGCCCUUCAGGAGGGAAAGCUAGGAUCAGGUCCUUUUUGCUCUUUUUAAACUUCAGGGGCAGCGUGUUCAUCAUAUCAACUCAUUUACAGAACGUCUCUUCCUUGGUCUACGCAGCAUCUAACAAAGGUUUGGCACCAAGUAGACAAUAUCCAAUGCUAUAUCUGGAGAUUGUAACUCACUUUUGUUAUCUUGCUCAACUACUCGGCAUGAAAAAAUAAGAUUCAAAAAGUCAUCUGGUCCAUGAAAAAUGAGGACUCUCACCCACAGUGGGGUGUGGAUUUGGGGUAGGGCUAAGCCAGGUGGGUGCCAGAGCCUUUCAGUCACUGUCUUCUGUUUGAGGCAGUGGCUGAACUGGCCUCACCAGGCCUCUGCUAUGGACUUUGAGGGAGGCAGUCUUGCAGAGUGGGAAAGAUCCUUCUUGGCUCCUCAUACCUUGAAGAGAAUGAAGCAACUCUAAAGUUUUUUAGGGAUCUCAGGAGACCUGGAUUGAGAACAACCAGGCUAGACUCGUCUGGGGCUCCAGUGGUGGCACCGCACAUGCUCCGUUGAUGGAUAUGAACCUAUGUCUUGCCCAACCUUCCGAAUUUGAGCCUCGGGCUUGCUUUCUCCAUCAUCUAUGUAGCCCCUGACCUGUGUCACAAGCCAUUGCAUUGGGCCUUGGAGCUCGGUUAUAGAAUGUGCAUGUCUGACUCCUGCUACUCCCAACAUUUGGGUCUCUGCUUUGGAGCACUCGGAAAAACCACAGGAAAGUAGCCUCCUCUGGACCCAGAACAUCCUUGGCUGUUGUGUCGGCUCAGACACUCCCCCUCCCCACUCUCAUCCCCUGCCAGGCUUCUGGCCUCAGGAAAAACUGAAGAAAACCAUAAAGGACAGUGAACUUAGGGUUGUGCAAGCCAACAUUCUGCUGUUGCUGAGUCAACUGUUGCUGAGUCAACUAACUCAAUAAAAUUCAGCUGAAUUUUUUAUUUGCUUGCUGAAAUUUUUCCAAUGUUACAAGCGUGAAAUUGGAGCAUAAAAUCCAUAUGAGGUUUUAUUUAUUGCUUCAUGCAUUUCGGCGAAGAUGCUGAAGAGAUGGCUUCUUGCUAAUGCUGGUCCCAACUGCAUCUGGGUAUGUGAGAGCUGACUUUAGCAUGUCUUUAUGGGUCAUUCUGCUUUCUGUGACCAUGUCUUCUCUGUAAGUCUUGAAAGUCCCUACGGGAUAAAACACAGGAUCCACUCAGGUACUUAACAUCCUCCCCGCCCCCCCCGCCACAGACCUGCCCCAUCACACCGUCUAUUGCCAUCUCCACAGAGCUUGGGACUAGCCAGAAACCAGCACUGUCCCAUCACCAAGGCUUCUCAGCCUCUACAGGCUCUCCUAGCUCUCACUCAACUCAAACUACAAUGAAGAUGGAGAUGAGAAUUGUGGUGUGAUGAUAGGAAGACAUCAAAGAAUGCUAAGCUUCACAAGAACCAUCUAAGUCAAGUUCUAUUAUUAUCUAACAUUACCAAUAAGGACGCUGAGUCACAAAGGACUUAUUUUUGCUUACGGUUGAACAGUAAAACAGGUGCGAAUUCAAACCGAGGUGUUCUGGCUCCAAAGCCUUGGUUCCUAAUCCCUGGGCUGUUCCAUCUCCAGUGAUGACUACAGCUUUUCUGCUUUCAUUAUUCAGGGAAUGUGUCACCAACUAAGAUGUCAGCACAAGCCAAUCUGGGAGAGAUCUCGCCAUUCUGAAAUCACAACAUUUUGUCCUUACUCUUGCACAAUUAAGAAUAAAUAGUAUGUUCAAAUUAGUCAUUUUGUAUUAGGAUUAAGAUCUUGUAAAAUUUGUAUGCAUCUUUGUAUAAAAGUAUGAUCUUCAUUUUUUAUGCUUGCACAAGACCGUAUCCCAAAUCACUUUACCCGAAUAUAUUAGUUUCUCUG